RNAcentral lists this long non-coding RNA (563 nucleotides) under Triticum aestivum (bread wheat). RNAcentral's name for it is "long non-coding RNA (TAES_LNC000168)". Lineage: Eukaryota; Viridiplantae; Streptophyta; Magnoliopsida; Poales; Poaceae. The record is from RNAcentral.
UGUAUUUACUAUCUAUAAAGUUGUAUGUUUAUUUUCUUUGCAAACAAGUGUUGGAAUAUUGGCUUCUCAUAACUAUGUACAGUAACUUAAGUAUAUUCCCAGGAGACUAUGUGAUCAGCAAUCAUACAAAGUAAUUAAAUGAUGUGUUUUCUUUCAAAUAGAUAGACAAAAGGUGGACCGAUGGCUUCUUGCCACAUCCAUGGCUAUUGCUGGAAGUUGAUUGGAGAUCUUCACGUCCAGAAAUGCUAGUUUUGUAGAUUAGGCAAGUGUAUUCUUCAUUUUCUGCUGCUGUGUGCACAGAGCACAUGUGAAUUCUGCCUGCAUUCAAUUUCAUAAAUUAAUUGAGCAUUCUAAUAAUUGAGACUUGUUUAACUUUUGUAUAGGAAGCAAACAUAAGGACUCGACUCACAAUGAACCAUGAAGCCAGCGAUCUGCAUCAAAUGGAUGUUUUAGUUUUCAUUUUGUACAACUGAUGUCUCAUAGUUGCAGUCUUUUCGCUGUCCUUUGUUGAACCUGAUGUAUGGUGUCUUGGUGGUUAUGUUUGGAACAGACUGAAGUGUAUG